ACGCUUGCGGGAAUCGAUCUCAGCUCUCUUGGAAACAAAUGGCCCAGCAAGACCGCUGGACCACAGCCUUAAUGUCUUCACAAGUGGAUUCAUUUUUGUUAUACCUUCUACUUUUAUAUAAAAUUUAUACAUAUACACACCAAAUUUUUUUGACGAAGCGGGUUGAGUUGAACCCUCUUGAUAUAACGUGGGUCCGCCCCUGCCCACAACCCACUAGUCAUCACCACCACCAAACACCACAGAAUUUUUUUAAAAUUAUGUUGUUGAUAUAUUAUUCGAUUAAUUGGUAUUUUAUUUGAAUUUCAUUCACUAGUCAUCACCACCACACCAAACACCACAGAAUUUUUUUAAAAUUAUGUUGUUGAUAUAUUAUUAGAUUAAUAGGUAUUUUAUUUGAAUUUCAUAUUUAUUAAUUUUAAGUAAAGAAAAAACUUUUUACACCCACAUGUUAAGAAAACGAGCAAUCUUAAUUACUCCAUCCGUUCCAAUUUAUGUGAACCUAUUUGACUGGGCACGGGGUUUAAGAAAAAAUGAAGAUUUU
Molecule: long non-coding RNA, 541 nt
Filed under: Nicotiana benthamiana
Lineage: Eukaryota; Viridiplantae; Streptophyta; Magnoliopsida; Solanales; Solanaceae
Description: long non-coding RNA (NBEN_LNC022483)
Source: RNAcentral